Molecule: long non-coding RNA, 2281 nt
Organism: Lynx canadensis (Canada lynx)
Lineage: Eukaryota; Metazoa; Chordata; Mammalia; Carnivora; Felidae
Exons: 3
Source: RefSeq, a predicted model, not a curated record
GGUGGAAUACUACACAGUAGCGAAAAAUGAAUUAACUAGAGCUACACGUGUCAGCACAGGUAUUCAAAGUGGCUCUUUUCAAAAAGCCACGGUAGGUGUGUCGAUCAAUAAUCAAAAGGGAAGGAAUAAACAGCUCCAACCUUGAGAACACGCGGCAUUGGAGAAGGCCAGGAGAAACAGGGCCGGACUGAAGCAGGACCGUGGAACAUUCUGGUACCCUCUACCUGCCUGCAGUUCAGAUGACCCGACCCCUCCUACUCUUCUGGCUUGUCUCCCACGGCCCCUUUUUCUUCUCUCACAACCAAAAGUAGGAAAGUUAGGCAUGGGGCAGGGUGGCCAAAGACCAGCUUUGCCUUCUUAGGAUUUCAGUUGGAAACUUUCUGGGAUUAAGCUGGCUACCUCUUGCUCUAACCUCAGGGGCCCCGGCAGUGUGGCUGGACCCGGAAACCAGGAGCCGAGGCUCAUGCAUGCGCACUGAGGUGAGCCAGGCACUGAGCCCAUGCUUUCCCAGCCUGAAAAGGGAGACCCUGCCUGCGCUGAGUCAGCUCAGGGCUGCGGCAGAAGUGGUAACACAAGCCCAUCGGCCCUUGAGUUAUACCUUUAAGGGGCUGGAAGCCCAGAGGAGCCAAAGUGACAUAUAUGCCAGGGCAGGGGAACAUGGUUCCCAGCAGGGGGCCAGGCCGGAAGAAGGGAUGAAUUCCAGCAGGGCAGGGGGGCCAUGACCCUCUGCUGCUGAGAUAGAGCAGGGCCGGUUCACCUCACCUGGCAGGAGCCAAGGGAAGCGGGUGAUAAAGCCCAGGAUCCAACUGUCUUUGUGUUUACUAUUCAAGAGAUAAUCCCGAGCAUGUUUGGGAUUGAAAUAAAGCACCGAGGAGGGGGUUUGAAGAACAACCCAGCAUUUCCUGCAGAAUUCCUCAGCAAGCAGAGAUUAGACCAGUCACCCUCCCCGCUGCCGUUCCUCUCCUGAGUCCACAGUCUUGGGCUCUGCUCUCUUCAGGCGGGAAGCCCAGCCCCAGCAGCUCCAUAGCCAUUUUCUUCUGCCCGGCAUCUUUAUUUUGUGUAACUGCAGAAGGCUUGCGUUUACAGAGUUCUGCCACAACCAGCACCUUCUUUGGGUUCUGCACCCCCAAAACAUCCUUGGAGCAAGUACUAGUAUCCCUACUGUAGUCAGGGAAACCAUUCAUUUGUUCAUUCACUCACUCAACAAGCACACUUUCAAGGAUCUUUCAGGCUCCAGACCCUGUGCUGGAACUGAAUGCAGCUCAGAAGGGCUAAGUGACUUGCCCGAAGUCACCGUCACACGGGGAGCAGCAGUGCCACGAUUGGAACCCAGCUCUUUCGACUGAGACCUAAAAAGGAGAGAGGCCAGAGCUCUGCCUCGUGGGAAGCAACAGUUGCUGAGAACCUUCCAAGCACUGAGAGGGAAGACUGACUCCGUGCCAAGAACUUUGUUCCUGCUUUUAUUUAACCCGCAUAGCAACUUGAUGAGGGAGAUGUUAGGACCCCGGCUUUACAGACAAGGGAACCUAGGGUCAAGUUAUUCACCAGCUCCCCUAAUGGCACAAGACAAAGCAAUCAAUCAGGGCUUCCGUCCCAGGUCUGACUCCACAAGGCCUGGGUUUUUUCCACUGGCCCACACUGCCUGCAUUGCUCUCCCGCCGACCUCCGCAGCAAAUUCGCAGAUUCUGUCAUUGACUGGGGAAGGUUAGGAAACACUGAUCUGAGCAGGCUGUAGGGGCUCCGCACAGUUAGCGCUCUCCUCUCCGGCUCCCAUGAUGGCGCAAACAGUGUCGGUUUCCCCCUGCAGGCUUUUGUCAUUUGUCCUGUGGCCUCUCUGCUCCCAUCUCUACCCUAUCCCAGGCACCCCAGGACCUCGGCUUCCUAAAUCUCAGCCAGAACGGUAUUUUACAAGGACACUCGCCAACCUUGAAAGGCAAGGUACCCCGAGGCAAGGUAAUAAAAUUACUGUGGCUGAGCAGCAUGGGCGCAGCGCCACCUAGUGGUUCUUGGACCAACGGUCCCUGGCAGUGACAUUUUCAAACAAUCAAUAUCUCAUUAUUAACCAUAAUCACAACCUGAUGUUUACUUUUGGAGAAAUGUUCAGCGGCAAGGGAUACACAUGCACUUUUCUGCAUGUUUCAGAGGCCUGCGAUCUAAAUGCCACAAUGACUAUUAAACAGUGUCCUGCCCGUGAGCAAACAGGAGGGAGCAGAGAUUGAUUGUAUAUCUUUUUCAUCUAAGCUACUCACCAAAAACAAAGCAUCCGUUGAAGCCACUGACC